Molecule: ribosomal RNA, 245 nt
Filed under: uncultured bacterium
Lineage: Bacteria
Description: partial 16S ribosomal RNA
Rfam family: Bacterial small subunit ribosomal RNA
Source: RNAcentral
UACAGAGGUCCCAAGCGUUGUUCGGAUUCACUGGGCGUAAAGGGUGCGUAGGUGGCUCGGUAAGUCUGGUGUGAAAUCUCGGAGCCUAACUCCGAAACUGCAUCGGAUACUAUUGAGCUUGAGGUCUGGAGGGGAGACUGGAAUUCUCGGUGUAGCAGUGAAAUGCGUAGAUAUCGAGAGGAACGCCAAUGGCGAAGGCUGGUCUCUGGACAGAUCCUGACACUGAGGCACGAAAGCUAGGGGAG